Molecule: unclassified non-coding RNA, 348 nt
Filed under: Bombus terrestris (buff-tailed bumblebee)
Lineage: Eukaryota; Metazoa; Arthropoda; Insecta; Hymenoptera; Apidae
Description: misc RNA ENSBTSG00005037402.1
Source: RNAcentral
AAGGCAGGAGAGUGCGAAACCACAUCUUCGCACGGAUCGAUGUGCUCCUUCAAUAAUUACACUGCAAAUAUUUGCGAACGUUUUAGCCAACGAAAUACCAAAUGAGCUUUUUUUGCCGAUAUCCUCGAAGCGAUUCAGUCUCCGGUUUUUUAGUCCUUCCUGCCUCCACCGAUUAUACGUAUGUGUAUGUGUGUGUGUAAGCACACCUUGUACUUUAUACGAUAGGGAGCUCGAGUUCGCCGGGGAGUAGUAUGGGUAACGGGUUCGUGGGGGCACACGUUCAUUUCGUAUUCUUUUCGACGAUGCGUCAUCCGCCUGGCCAACUGAGGAUAAACUUCGACGCCAGAC